AAGCUAAAAAGGAGAUAGGUGCAGAGACUCAAUGGAAGCUAUUCUAACGAAUGGAGUUGACUACGUUGCGUUGGUAACUGAAAUCUUUCUAAAUUAAAGAAAAAAAGGAUGACCUAUAUAUCUAAUACGUACGUAUACAUACUGACAUAUCAAACAAUUAAUCAUGACUCAAAUCCAUAUUAAUAAUAAUCAAGUAAAUACACAAAAUUCAGAAUUAGUGUGGAUCUAUGCUAAUCCAAUCGAAGUUGAAGGAAGAAUCGAAUAUUCAGUGAUCAAAUCAUUCAUUCCAGAAUUUGAUAUGAUUAUGAUAGGCUUUUUUUUUUGAAAAACUGAUUAAUCGGACGAGAAUAAAGAGAGAGUCCCAUUUUACAUGUCAAUACCGGCAACAAUGAAAUUUAUCGUAAGAGGAAAAUCCGUCGACUUUAGAAAUCGUGA
Molecule: non-coding RNA, 435 nt
Filed under: Burchardia umbellata
Lineage: Eukaryota; Viridiplantae; Streptophyta; Magnoliopsida; Liliales; Colchicaceae
Source: RNAcentral